AGCGUUCAAACCACUUGAUCCGCA
RNAcentral lists this non-coding RNA (24 nucleotides) under Arabidopsis thaliana (thale cress). Lineage: Eukaryota; Viridiplantae; Streptophyta; Magnoliopsida; Brassicales; Brassicaceae. The record is from RNAcentral.